UCCCUCCUCCCUCCUUCUCCCUUAGCUCCCCCCACCUCUUCCCCCCACCCUCCAUUCCUCUGUCUCUCUAUUCCUCCACCUACUCCUCCCAAUUUCUCCCCCUACAGCCCCCCUUCUCACCACCACUUAUAAUGGCACACAGGGCUCCCUCUGAGGUGGACGGCCCGAUGCACAGAGAAUUUCUGACCUUGUGACGUUUGGGAGUGAGGAGAUCCCAUAUGGAGGCAUCCAGGUAUUUCCAGAGAUCCUGUGGCAGGUGAGGUCUGCCCCGGCUGGAGCCAACUCGUCUAUAAUAUCUUCCUAACAGCAGGAGUCGCCUGCGGGGAGGAGAGGAGAGGACAGACUAAGCUACGCGUAGAGCGGCAUCAGGAGCAAGUUACCGUUAUCAUGUGUAAACAAAACAACUCGACUCCUCUGUGUCAGAAUCAACAACAUCAAAGGUGUCUGUGGGGGGUCAUUUUUAUUUUUAAAACAGUCCUAGAUUCUUGUUCAGCAAUUUUAGUAUCUUCCUUCUGGGUUUGUUCUAAGGCAUGCAGGAGAGAAAAGUAACGUUCGAGAAAAAAGCUGGGUCGGCAAGUUUGGCUCCGGAGCCUAUGAACUAUGAAUCACCGCGGUGAAGAGGUUUUCUUUUUCUUUUUCUUUUUUUUUUUCUCACCCUCUUCUUUUCUCCUGGAGCGUGAACUUGUUAGAUAAGAGAGAUGAGGCUACAAGGAAAUGGAAACGCUGAAAAAGCCCGACUCCUUUGGAGAGCAGACUGUGCGGCUGGCAGGCGGCUGCCGCGCGCCCUCCCCCAGCCGAGGAGCACCGGGGCAGCUCCGGAGCGGUCCCAACUUGGGCCUCCUCGGCCCCACCGCGGGGCCAGACAUCACGCUCAGAUCGCUGCCUUGGCCAUCUUACCUUUUGGCCAUAGAAUACACACCCCGAAAGACGAGAGAACGGCCUCUAUUUGAGCUGAGUGUCUGCUCUCCCGCUCGAAACACAAAACAGGGCCCGCAGCUUUUCCUAGAGGGAGUCCCAAUCACAAAACAGUCCGAGAGUGGGAGACGCUAGAGAAGUCUGGAAUUACAGCUGAUAAUGUGGCUGGUUGGAAUCAAUUAGCACUGGAUUUUGCCCCAGGAUUGCUCCCCAGGGCGGACAAGUGGAGCCAACUCAUCUCCAGCGACUUUUUCUUCGCUCACGUGCAUAUCCACGCCAGGGCUUCAGAAGCGUUUCAAAAUCCCCAGCCUUGGUUUCACUUGAUUUCGUUGUUGUUAUUGAUAAAUAUUGGGUCAUACACAAGCCACUUGUCAGAGCCUUUGGCUCCAUCUCGAAGCUGCAGCUCCUAGCGGGACGUUUGAGUCUUGUCCUAGGAACUGGAAGGAUUUACUGGGAAAAGAAUUACACAUUCUCUGCUCCUUCAGUUUUGGAGAUGGUCCCUUAAAUCAUAUCAUAUCGUCUGUCUGCUUGCUGUCACAUUUAUUUCUUGAUUAUUCCGAUAUGUGAACAAUGGGAAGAUGUGUGCAUCUUUUCCCCCAUCUUUUAAAAACAAUUAUUGAAAUGGUUUAAAAAGGGGGGAGGGGAGAAGGUAUUGAUCCCAGUCCUUUCCGUAUAUUUGGAACCAAAAGAGCAUAGGCAAAUAGAUAAUUGUUUUAAUUGUCGGGGUAGGGGGUGGGUUGGUAGGUAGGACCUUUGGGUUUUGUGUAAUUGGAGUAAUAAAUGCAGUUUAUCUUUUAGCUCCGCUGUAUAUAUUCUUUCCCUUGAUACAUAUUGCACAUGAGCUGAACCCAUGGUCUACUUGUCUUAGCAUGUUUGAAGCCCCAGACACCCAACAGUAUCAUUACAGGAAAGAGACAAAGCCCCCAAAGACUCCAGGCAGGGAGGUGACUGCCUUUGGGGCCAAUGGGGAAUUUAUCUUGACGUUGAACUAUUCUAGGAAGUGCACCCACUCGCUCAGACUCCCUUGCUGCGCAGAGUUCAGGUCUUCCCCGUGCUGAAGUGCGGGGAGGAGGUGUGGGAAAAAAACAGCUGAUUUUUGACAUUUCAAAGGGACUCUUUCUAUUUAUCAGUGUUACCGAAGUGUACGUUACUGGAGAAACAACAAAACAAGCAUAGAGCUGCAAUUUUCAAGAAAAUAGGAUCCCCAAAUAUAAAAAUAAAAAAGUAGCAGAUAAGAUGUAUAAUUCAAUCAAAUUACACAAAAUUGCUUGAAAAUCUAGAACAGUAGCGAUCCAUUAUGCCUCUGUUUUAUUAGUGACAAGUACAAUUACUCUAAAAUAAAGAACACUGGUGAAUAUAUAA
Molecule: non-coding RNA, 2277 nt
Organism: Macaca mulatta (Rhesus monkey)
Lineage: Eukaryota; Metazoa; Chordata; Mammalia; Primates; Cercopithecidae
Source: RefSeq, a predicted model, not a curated record